RNAcentral lists this ribosomal RNA (440 nucleotides) under uncultured bacterium. Its description in RNAcentral is "partial 16S ribosomal RNA". It matches the Rfam family "Bacterial small subunit ribosomal RNA", at positions 338 to 795 of the family's 1533-position model. The record is from RNAcentral.
CCUACGGGGGGCAGCAGUAGGGAAUAUUGCUCAAUGGGGGAAACCCUGAAGCAGCAAAGCCGCGUGGAGGAUGAAGGUCUUCGGAUUGUAAACUCCUUUUGUUAGAGGAGUUAAGGAAGGUAUGUAACGAAUAAGCAACGGCUAACACCGUGCCAGCAGCCGCGGUAAUACGGAGGGUGCCAGCGUUACUCGGAUUCACUGGGCGUAAAGAGCGCGUAGGCGGGAUAGCAAGUCAGAUGUGAAAUCUUAUGGCUUAACCGUAGAACUGCAUUUGAAACUGUUAUUCUGGAGUAUGGGAGAGGUAGGUGGAAUUCUUGGUGUAGCGGUGAAAUGCGUAGAGAUCACGAAGAAUACUGAUUGCGAAGGCAGCCUACUAGAACGUAACUGACGCUGAUGCGCGAAAGCGUGGGUAGCAAACAGGAUUAGAUACCCGUGUAGUC